Stachybotrys elegans is the source of this 81-nucleotide non-coding RNA. Lineage: Eukaryota; Fungi; Ascomycota; Sordariomycetes; Hypocreales; Stachybotryaceae. The record is from the annotation of a GenBank genome assembly.
GCGCGAGUAGUAUAACGGUUAGUAUCCAUGCUUCCCAUUUGGAAGCAGCAUGGGGCCCGGGUUCGACUCCCGGCUCGCGCA